RNAcentral lists this RNase P RNA (238 nucleotides) under Niveispirillum sp. RNAcentral describes it as "partial RNase P RNA component class A". It matches the Rfam family "Bacterial RNase P class A", at positions 166 to 367 of the family's 367-position model. Rfam says of the family: Ribonuclease P (RNase P) is a ubiquitous endoribonuclease, found in archaea, bacteria and eukarya as well as chloroplasts and mitochondria. Its best characterised activity is the generation of mature 5'-ends of tRNAs by cleaving the 5'-leader elements of precursor-tRNAs. Cellular RNase Ps are ribonucleoproteins. Lineage: Bacteria; Pseudomonadati; Pseudomonadota; Alphaproteobacteria; Rhodospirillales; Azospirillaceae. The record is from RNAcentral.
GGUAAGAGCACACCGCGACCCUGGCGACAGGGUUGGCAUGGUAAACCCCACCGGGAGCAAAACCGAAUAGGGACGGCACGGGCGGCAACGCCCAGGCGCACUUCCGCGCUGUCGUCCGGGUGGGUUGCGCGAGGUGUCCAGCAAUGGGCAUCCCAGAGGAAUGACCAUCCCCCGGAUACCAUCCACACGUGGGAUAUGGUCCGGCGGACAGAACCCGGCUUACAGACCGUCUGGCCCU